This 498-nucleotide ribosomal RNA is filed under the name uncultured bacterium. RNAcentral's name for it is "partial 16S ribosomal RNA". It matches the Rfam family "Bacterial small subunit ribosomal RNA", at positions 29 to 523 of the family's 1533-position model. The record is from RNAcentral.
AUUGAACGCUGGCGGCAUGCCUUACACAUGCAAGUCGAACGGUAACGCGGGGCAACCUGGCGACGAGUGGCGAACGGGUGAGUAAUGCAUCGGAACGUGCCCAGAAGUGGGGGAUAGCCCGGCGAAAGCCGGAUUAAUACCGCAUGAGACCUGAGGGUGAAAGCGGGGGAUCGCAAGACCUCGCGCUUUUGGAGCGGCCGAUGUCAGAUUAGCUAGUUGGUGGGGUAAAGGCCUACCAAGGCGACGAUCUGUAGCUGGUCUGAGAGGACGACCAGCCACACUGGGGCGGAGAGACGGCCCAGACUCCUACGGGAGGCAGCAGUGGGGAAUUUUGGACAAUGGGCGCAAGCCUGAUCCAGCCAUGCCGCGUGCGGGAAGAAGGCCUUCGGGUUGUAAACCGCUUUUGUCAGGGAAGAAACGCUCUGGGCUAAUGCCCUGGGGUAAUGACGGUACCUGAAGAAUAAGCACCGGCUAACUACGUGCCAGCAGCCGCCGUAA